Long non-coding RNA from Pezoporus occidentalis (night parrot), 4599 nucleotides. RefSeq lists it as uncharacterized. NCBI's taxonomy places the organism in Eukaryota, Metazoa, Chordata, Aves, Psittaciformes, Psittacidae. The record is from RefSeq and is a predicted model, not a curated record. The transcript is spliced from 6 exons.
UCCCAACUGGUGACUCUUGUGUUCUUUAUUAUAGUUUAAAAAAACUUAAUCACAGCAAGGAAGGCUUGAGCAAGGACCCCUGCCCUGUAGAGUUAGCUUGGUGGUGGUGUAACCCAGGGGAGCCUCAGGGCUGCUCUAAGUUGGGAUGACCCAGCUCCUACAGGAGCACUACAGAGAAGCAUGUGGCCAGUUGGGGCAAACACAUCUCUUUUAUGGGUUAAACAGCCAAGAAGUGUGUUUGCCUCUGUUUAUCCCCAACCGCCCACCCCUAAAGACUCACUCCAGCUGCUUAAUUAGGCUGUUGGUGUGCUUGUGCAGCUGAGCUCUUAGAGGGGUCUCAGCAGCAAGAACAACGUUGGCCCUUAAUUGCUAAUUGAAAGUCCUGCCUAAAUGAGAGCAUAGGGGGUGGGUUAUUUCCAGUAUUUGAGUGCUUCCCCAAGCAGAACACCUGCAUUUGGAGAUGUCUGUUCAAGUUGUCCCCUUUCUUUACCUGAUUUCUGACCUCUGAGCCCUUGCUCUCAGUUUUGGAUCUCACAGACCUAUGCCAAGUAGCAGAGAAGAAGCACAGCCACGAGCUUCAAGCAGGGGCUCUAAAAGAGAAAGAUCUCAAGAAUAAAGUGAAGGAGCUGCAGUUCUGGGGCAUCUAGAGUGGGAUUUAGCCUGUGUCCCUGAUGUCCUAUCCCUAACCCCCUGUGGGUAUGGAAGGAAAAACUCAAUCUCAGUCAAACACCUGCAGCUUUGGAUCCUCAGUGUUGAGCAGCUGAUGUCAGACCUGGAUGGGCUGUUUGGCCUGAAGAGCCAAAACCAACCCUAGUGAUAUGCCUGCCAUGUACCUCUCCUGCUUCCCUCUACAACUUCUCAUGUAUCCUGUAUGUGUCAAUAAACAUCCUCUGUGUCUACUGUGGCCUCCCUGAGCCCCUCAGUCCCCUGUGUGACCAAGGGUUCUCCUCUGCUUCUGUGGCCUGUAACCGUCAGGUGGCCAAAAAAACCUCUGAGCAUUGCUGUUUCCCCACUGCCUGCCCUUUUAAAGUGUGGAACAGGCAGCAGUUUGGAUCUUUUGUUGCUGCUCAUUCACUGAGACUUUAUUAUUGGUGUUUGGUGGAGCUGAGAAAUCUCUCUGAUGCUUUUACAGACUGUGGCAGAGCUGGGCUACAACCAGUGGGUUCAGAAGUUAGCAGGUUAUGCUUAGACAAGCAGUAUGAUCACAGGCCCUCAUCUUUGGAAAUCAGCCCAAAAUAACAUGCUACACACCAGUGAUCACCUGUUAUUAAAGCAGUGCUUUGGCUGAGGUCUGAAUGUGAUCUGGGCUUCGGUCUGUUCUGUGCUGGUGCUCUUGGGUGGACAACACUGCCUGCGCAGUGCAGAGUGCAUAUUUCUUUUACAGAAGACUUUCUCUAACCCACCUAUUCUCCAAAAACUUGCCUUGGUGCUUUCAAAUGCCAUUUUAUACAUAGUGUUGAGUGAGGUGUUGCUGAGCAGCUCCUGCUCCCUUGUGGGGGGAGCCCCAGGGUGGCUGCAGCAGAGAGCUGGGGAUAAAGUGCAGGAAUUGCAUUGUAGUUGAUGCCAAAUUUAAUAGUUGUAUUAGAAAGAAAAAUAAUAAUUUGGAGAUCACCUUAUGGGGGACUUCGGUGGGUCCUUUGAGUGAGUCUCCUAGUGGGUUGCCAAGGAAGGGAUCCUGGAGAAGUGAGAGGACGAUGGAAGGUGUUGGGGAAUGGGAGAAGAUGGUGACUCAAUCGGAUAAAUGUUUGCUGGGCUCUGCAGAGCACUGGCAAUGAUUAACUGCUAAACAAAGCUGUGGCUGCUCUGUACAUGCAAGAAUGGGUGCCUGAAGUGAAAAUUUACAGUGCAGGAGGCUCCUCCAGAGACAGACUUCAGCUGCUGGGAAGAUGUGCUGAAAUAGCAGCUUAUGAUAAAAAAAGAGAGGUUACUAAGUUACUGCCUCUCAAUCUGCAGGACAAAUCAGUGCACAGGGAAUUUCUAAUGAAGUAAAAUGUAAGGAGGUGUCUCAUGGUGCUGGGAACAUGGGACACAGCACAGGCAAGGGACUGCAACUUGGAGAAACUUGUUCUGGUGAGAGGGAGCCAGGCCCUGGUGUGAAGGAGAAUCUGAUGAUGCAGCUGCCAGACAAAACUGCCAUUUUCCUUGGGGUGCAAAUGAGGCAGCACAACUGAAAUGAAGCCCUCACAUUGCUGGAGAUGGUAGAAGGGCUCAUCAGAGACACCCACAGCAGAGGAACUAACACAUCUGAUCAGUCACUUGAUGGGUGUGAUUACUGGUUUGCAUACCUUUGAUGGACUGUCAGCACCAUCAUGCAAAAUAGCCUCCAUUUAUUGUCUGAUUUCUUGGGUUUUAAUGGGUUUUCUCCAGCUGAAAGGCUGAGCUGAGGGACUCUAGGGAAAACAAUUACCUUCCUCACUCAGUAAGGAGGAAAAAACGGCUGGUUGGGCAGCAGGUGAAGGAGGGGGCCAUAGGGAAUAGCUGAGCGUGAUGAACACCCCUGGACAGCAUCUGGGAGUGAUGCAUUGGAGGGAUUAGGUACCUGCUUGCCUCUGGGGAUCUGGGGCACUUGUGGCUGCAGUGGCAGAGUUGUCUGGAGUUGCUGGUGGGGGAAGGAUGAAGAAGCAAAUCCCUCCUGCCCACCCUCAGCAGGGGCUGGGAGAAGCAAAGUGGCAGCGGAGAGCGGAAAGCCUUCUGUAGAACCUUAGCACUGUUCAAUGUGCAGGCAGCAACACGAGGGAUGCUUGCUCUGAACAGAAAGCUUGGUUUGGGUUAGAUGGUGUCUGUUAAGCCUGAUGUGAGGUGGAAGGUGACUGCACGGGUCAGAGCUAUACAUAUUUUCUCCCUGUGGAAAUCAAGGGUGAUCACUGGUCCCUGGGAAAGGGGCAGGCACAGGGUUUGCUUGUAGAGAGUGUUGAGACAUGUUAGUUGUUAGCUUAAGUAAGUUUUAAAUAGAAGAAGUCACUUCUAGAGUUAUAAUAUUGUGUAGAUUAGUAUGCUGUUUGCUUAGCUUUACCUUCUUAGUAUGAGUAGCUAGAUUUGCUGCAGCCUUAGCCUGCAACCUGUGCACUUUCAUAUAGAUACACUUUUGGUUGGAAUAGAGUUAGUUAAUUUUCUUAGGAUUGUUUCCUAGUACAGUGCUGUUUUGUCUUUAGUAUGAGAAGAACACUGGUAAUACACUGAUGUUUUAGUUGCUGUGGGGUAAUGUUUAUUUGAGGUCUGGGAUUUCAGUGUCCCAUGCUCUGCUGGCAAGCCGGUACACCAUAUGCGCAAACCAGGAGAUAAAGAGGCCACAACGAUCAGCAGCAGCUGCAACUCAACAAGAAAAGAACGGUUCAUGGCUUACCUUCAUGGAGACAGAGAAAGAACCCAGCAAGCUAUGGAAUUCUCUCUUCCAACUGGACUGGGAAGCAAGGUGUCUCAGCAGUGCUUGCCCACACCACUGCCCCCAGUCAUAUCCUGGGUGUCACAUUUGUUGAGACAUCAGUCAUCAGUACCAAGCCAUGGAUUCCCACUGCCUGCAGCUGUUGAUGAACCGCAGGGUUAUUUCAUCCCAUUCCUCAGGAAGCAGCAUGAGCAGAAACCCAAUGCAAAUGAUGAUGGUGGCUCCCAAUCUCACUACACUGAAGAUCAUUUUGUGCUUUAACAGAUCCACAGCUGUGAAAAAGAAAUGACAAUGCUGUCAAGACUGCAGCAGGUUGAACUACAGCAUCAGACCAGCCUGGCACAUGUCCAUAACCUGUGUGUUGCACUCUGGCCAUGUUCCUCUCAAUCCCCUACAGUGACCAGCUCCUUGAGUUAAGAACAGCUUUGACCUGGCCACGUAGUACUGGAAGUGCCACGUCUCCUCUGUGCCUAACCACUUUCAUGUAGGCUCCAAGGAAGCUUUAUAGAGCUGGUCUAAACCUCGAGGUUUUAAUUUUUGCUCUGAGAGGGAAGCUACUUUAUGUUAACCCUCUAUCUACAGCAGGUUACCUGAGUGUAAUGUUUCCUUGGGCUGGACAGACCAGGGAUGGGGAGAGAGCAUUAUGCAGGUCAGAAAGCUGGAGUCGAUGCCUCUGUGCCCAGCCUCCCAGCUCCACAACCAGCAACAAUAGUGCAGCUGAGCCCUUCAGCAGCCUUUUUCCGGUACUGACUGUUUAAUAGCUCUGACCUGUAUUCCUAUAAAAAUAGAUGUUUCUUUGAAAACAUCCUCAAAUACCUGGAGUAGCGAGGCUAAGAAGGUGAAGGAGGAGACAGAGGCUAUUCAAUAAGAUAUGACUCUGAAGUAAACUUCCACAUAUACAUACUGCCUUGCUGCUCCACGGCAAGUCACCAGCACAGUGCUGAGCUGCUGCAGCAGCACACUGGCCCCACCAUUUCUCAGCAGCAGCCAGCAGCUUUGGGCUAUUGGCUGGGGAUCAGCCUGCUCUCUCCCCUGCACGGUAUGGAUGUACCCUGUCACUCCCAGAGAAAGAGGCAAGACAAAACCCAAAUGCUUUUGCCAUCUGAAACACCCACCAUCACCAGGAGUAUCUGUAGAAGCCAUAGGAGACCAAACUGCUUUUGAAACUUGUGACAACAGACUCUGACUAUGUAGACAAUAAACUUCUGCUAUCUGCA